GACGAACGCUGGCGGCGUGCUUAACACAUGCAAGUCGAACGAGUGGCGAACGGGUGAGUAACACGUGGGUGAUCUGCCUUGCACUUCGGGAUAAGCUUGGGAAACUGGGUCUAAUACCGGAUAGUGCAAGAUGAGCUCGCGGCCUAUCGGCUUGUUGGUGGGGUAAUGGCUACCACGGCGCGACGGGUAGCCGGCCUGAGAGGGUGUACGGGGACAUUGGGACUGAGGUACGGAGCAGACUGCUACGGGAGGCAGGAGUGGGGAAUAUUGCACAAUGGGGGGAAGCGUGAUGCAGAGGCGCCGCGGGGGGGAUGAAGGCCUUCGGGGGGUAAACUCGUUGCGACAGAGAAGCGGUACCUGUAUAAGAAGCACCGGCUAACUACGUGCCAGCAGCCGCGGUAAUAC
This 405-nucleotide ribosomal RNA is filed under the name uncultured bacterium. RNAcentral describes it as "partial 16S ribosomal RNA". It matches the Rfam family "Bacterial small subunit ribosomal RNA", at positions 28 to 526 of the family's 1533-position model. The record is from RNAcentral.